RNAcentral lists this ribosomal RNA (1427 nucleotides) under uncultured organism. RNAcentral describes it as "16S ribosomal RNA". It matches the Rfam family "Bacterial small subunit ribosomal RNA". The record is from RNAcentral.
CACAUGCAAGUCGAACGGAAAGGCCCUGCUUUUGAGGGGUGCUCGAGUGGCGAACGGGUGAGUAACACGUGAGUAACCUGCCCUUGACUUUGGGAUAACUUCAGGAAACUGGGGCUAAUACCGGAUAGGAGCUCCUGCUGCAUGGUGGGGGUUGGAAAGUUUCGGCGGUUGGGGAUGGACUCGCGGCUUAUCAGCUUGUUGGUGGGGUAGUGGCUUACCAAGGCUUUGACGGGUAGCCGGCCUGAGAGGGUGACCGGCCACAUUGGGACUGAGAUACGGCCCAGACUCCUACGGGAGGCAGCAGUGGGGAAUAUUGCACAAUGGGCGGAAGCCUGAUGCAGCAACGCCGCGUGCGGGAUGACGGCCUUCGGGUUGUAAACCGCUUUCGCCUGUGACGAAGCGUGAGUGACGGUAAUGGGUAAAGAAGCACCGGCUAACUACGUGCCAGCAGCCGCGGUGAUACGUAGGGUGCGAGCGUUGUCCGGAUUUAUUGGGCGUAAAGGGCUCGUAGGUGGUUGAUCGCGUCGGAAGUGUAAUCUUGGGGCUUAACCCUGAGCGUGCUUUCGAUACGGGUUGACUUGAGGAAGGUAGGGGAGAAUGGAAUUCCUGGUGGAGCGGUGGAAUGCGCAGAUAUCAGGAGGAACACCAGUGGCGAAGGCGGUUCUCUGGGCCUUUCCUGACGCUGAGGAGCGAAAGCGUGGGGAGCGAACAGGCUUAGAUACCCUGGUAGUCCACGCUGUAAACGGUGGGUACUAGGUGUGGGGUCCAUUCCACGGGUUCCGUGCCGUAGCUAACGCUUUAAGUACCCCGCCUGGGGAGUACGGCCGCAAGGCUAAAACUCAAAGGAAUUGACGGGGCCCCGCACAAGCGGCGGAGCAUGCGGAUUAAUUCGAUGCAACGCGUAGAACCUUACCUGGGUUUGACAUGGAUCGGGAGUGCUCAGAGAUGGGUGUGCCUCUUUUGGGGUCGGUUCACAGGUGGUGCAUGGCUGUCGUCAGCUCGUGUCGUGAGAUGUUGGGUUAAGUCCCGCAACGAGCGCAACCCUUGUUCACUGUUGCCAGCACGUUAUGGUGGGGACUCAGUGGAGACCGCCGGGGUCAACUCGGAGGAAGGUGGGGAUGACGUCAAGUCAUCAUGCCCCUUAUGUCCAGGGCUUCACGCAUGCUACAAUGGCUGGUACAGAGAGUGGCGAGCCUGUGAGGGUGAGCGAAUCUCGGAAAGCCGGUCUCAGUUCGGAUUGGGGUCUGCAACUCGACCUCAUGAAGUCGGAGUCGCUAGUAAUCGCAGAUCAGCAACGCUGCGGUGAAUACGUUCCCGGGGCUUGUACACACCGCCCGUCAAGUCAUGAAAGUUGGUAACACCCGAAGCCGGUGGCCUAACCGUUGUGGGGGAGCCGUCGAAGGUGGGACUGGUGAUUAGGACUAAGU